AGCUUAUAUUUGGUAGCAAUAUUGAUUAUGAGCAAGUGGCGAACGGGUGAGUAACACGUAGGUAAUCUACCUUUUGAACGGGAACAACCCAGGGAAACUUGGGCUAAUGCCCGAUAAGCCCACGUCCCGGGAGGGAUGAGGGAAAAGGCGGGGCGAAAGUCUCGCGUCGAAAGAUGAGCCUGCGGCCUAUCAGCUAGUUGGUAAGGUAAAAGCUUACCAAGGCGAAGACGGGUAGCCGGCCUGAGAGGGUGAACGGUCACACUGGGACUGAGACAUGGCCCAGACUCCUACGGGAGGCAGCAGUGAGGAAUUUUCCGCAAUGGGCGCAAGCCUGACGGAGCGACGCCGCGUGAGGGAUGAAGGCUUUCGGGUUGUAAACCUCUUUUGCAGGGGAAAAAGGUACAUGUGCUCAUACCACGUGUAUUUGAUGGUACUUUGCGAAUAAGCCCCGGCUAACUACGUGCCAGCAGCCGCGGUAAUACGUAGGGGGCGAGCGUCGUCCGGAGUUACUGGGCGUAAAGGGCGUGUAGGCGGUUGGAUAAGUCUGGUGUGAAAUUCUC
Molecule: ribosomal RNA, 560 nt
Filed under: uncultured bacterium
Lineage: Bacteria
Description: bacterial SSU rRNA
Rfam family: Bacterial small subunit ribosomal RNA
Source: RNAcentral